UCCCCAGUGGCUCAGAUGGUAAAGCAUCUGCCUACAAUGCAGGAGACCUGGGUUCGAUCCCUGGGUUGGGAA
This 72-nucleotide transfer RNA is filed under the name Ovis aries (sheep). It matches the Rfam family "tRNA". Rfam says of the family: Transfer RNA (tRNA) molecules are approximately 80 nucleotides in length. Their secondary structure includes four short double-helical elements and three loops (D, anti-codon, and T loops). Lineage: Eukaryota; Metazoa; Chordata; Mammalia; Artiodactyla; Bovidae. The record is from Rfam by way of RNAcentral.